Molecule: ribosomal RNA, 1413 nt
Filed under: Vibrio sp.
Lineage: Bacteria; Pseudomonadati; Pseudomonadota; Gammaproteobacteria; Vibrionales; Vibrionaceae
Description: bacterial SSU rRNA
Rfam family: Bacterial small subunit ribosomal RNA
Source: RNAcentral
AGUCGAGCGGAACGAGUUAACUGAACCUUCGGGGGACGUUAACGGCGUCGAGCGGCGGACGGGUGAGUAAUGCCUAGGAAAUUGCCCUGAUGUGGGGGAUAACCAUUGGAAACGAUGGCUAAUACCGCAUGAUGCCUACGGGCCAAAGAGGGGGACCUUCGGGCCUCUCGCGUCAGGAUAUGCCUAGGUGGGAUUAGCUAGUUGGUGAGGUAAGGGCUCACCAAGGCGACGAUCCCUAGCUGGUCUGAGAGGAUGAUCAGCCACACUGGAACUGAGACACGGUCCAGACUCCUACGGGAGGCAGCAGUGGGGAAUAUUGCACAAUGGGCGCAAGCCUGAUGCAGCCAUGCCGCGUGUGUGAAGAAGGCCUUCGGGUUGUAAAGCACUUUCAGUCGUGAGGAAGGUAGUGUGUUUAAUAGAUGCAUUAUUUGACGUUAGCGACAGAAGAAGCACCGGCUAACUCCGUGCCAGCAGCCGCGGUAAUACGGAGGGUGCGAGCGUUAAUCGGAAUUACUGGGCGUAAAGCGCAUGCAGGUGGUUUGUUAAGUCAGAUGUGAAAGCCCGGGGCUCAACCUCGGAAUAGCAUUUGAAACUGGCAGACUAGAGUACUGUAGAGGGGGGUAGAAUUUCAGGUGUAGCGGUGAAAUGCGUAGAGAUCUGAAGGAAUACCGGUGGCGAAGGCGGCCCCCUGGACAGAUACUGACACUCAGAUGCGAAAGCGUGGGGAGCAAACAGGAUUAGAUACCCUGGUAGUCCACGCCGUAAACGAUGUCUACUUGGAGGUUGUGGCCUUGAGCCGUGGCUUUCGGAGCUAACGCGUUAAGUAGACCGCCUGGGGAGUACGGUCGCAAGAUUAAAACUCAAAUGAAUUGACGGGGGCCCGCACAAGCGGUGGAGCAUGUGGUUUAAUUCGAUGCAACGCGAAGAACCUUACCUACUCUUGACAUCCAGAGAACUUUUCAGAGAUGAAUUGGUGCCUUCGGGAACUCUGAGACAGGUGCUGCAUGGCUGUCGUCAGCUCGUGUUGUGAAAUGUUGGGUUAAGUCCCGCAACGAGCGCAACCCUUAUCCUUGUUUGCCAGCGAGUAAUGUCGGGAACUCCAGGGAGACUGCCGGUGAUAAACCGGAGGAAGGUGGGGACGACGUCAAGUCAUCAUGGCCCUUACGAGUAGGGCUACACACGUGCUACAAUGGCGCAUACAGAGGGCGGCCAACUUGCGAAAGUGAGCGAAUCCCAAAAAGUGCGUCGUAGUCCGGAUUGGAGUCUGCAACUCGACUCCAUGAAGUCGGAAUCGCUAGUAAUCGUGGAUCAGAAUGCCACGGUGAAUACGUUCCCGGGCCUUGUACACACCGCCCGUCACACCAUGGGAGUGGGCUGCAAAAGAAGUAGGUAGUUUAACCUUCGGGGGGACGC